CUUGUAGAUUAUUAAGUCUAUAUUUAAUUUGCGGUGGUUUACACAGCCCCCAAAAUAAUACCUACUGCCUCCCACAGAGAGGGAGGAAAGAUGUGUGGUCUGCACCCUGACCAGCAGGGGAUGGGUUCCCACAGCAUCCAAUGCACUUCUGUGCAAGGAAGAGCAGAUCCAGUGGCUGCCUCUUCUCUGAGGUGAGGGUGCAAAAUUUGUGUCAAUUAACCCUUCCUGCAGGGCCAUACAGCUAGGAGUGGCAGCUGUGAUCUGGGAUGGGAAAUGAUGAGAUGGAAUCAACAGCGGAAAGCAAUUGUGUUGGCAUCUGAUGGGUUAAGUUUAGGUGUAGCUCGUCACAGCCAUGAGCCCCAUGGUUUGAGGACAAGGAUCAUUCACUCAGUGCAGCACACAAAGCACCACUGAACUUCAUGCCAUCCUCCAGGCAAGCCCUGGGGAGCUAUGGUCUCAACAGCUAGUUAACAACUAGUUAAAGGGAACAAUGCAACUCCAACUUCCCCUUGAGAACUGUGUUAAAUGCGGACAAAUGACCCAGCAACACGUUCAGAGACAUGGGAUACCACCAAGAAGGGGUGGUUGUGCGUCCUUCCUGCUCUGACAGACUGCGGCAUUUUUUGCUGGAUAAACACAAAAGGUGAGGCUGUAAGAUGCUUCUGCAUUUCAGGUGAAUUCGCAGCUGCCUGAACCCCAAAAUAAACAGGACAGAGGAUGUA
RNAcentral lists this long non-coding RNA (722 nucleotides) under Phasianus colchicus (ring-necked pheasant). RNAcentral's name for it is "lncRNA (ENSPCLG00000011239.1)". The record is from RNAcentral. Lineage: Eukaryota; Metazoa; Chordata; Aves; Galliformes; Phasianidae.